ACACAAGCUCGCGUUCAGGUACGGGCGCAGGUCGAAACACGCCGAAGAUACGAUCGAGACAGCAAGCAGCAUGUGCACCCCAACCUGUGCAGCAUCGGAGUGCGUUGCAGCUAGCAUCCGGUGGCUCGACUACGCCAGCGCAACUCUAAACCCAGAUCGACUACCAGAACACGCCGUACACCUGGGCGAGCUGCUCGCCCUUUUGCGUAGCGCGCAGUCGCCGCCGUCAACGCUGCAAGAUGAGUGGAGCGCACAGGUGUGGGCCAUGGCAGGGGAGCCGUACCUCGUGUACCUCCUUCGCUGCCUCGCUCACCAGAGCGGUCUGACGCAGCUUUCGCCGCACUUUGUCGUGCCGACCACCGAGAUCGACAACGACGACGGUGUCGCGGUCGCUGCCGUGACCGCAGGGAACUCCGCAAACCAUCCAUCUCGCCUGUUCUGGGAGCGGUGUGUGGUGGUGGGUGUGCGGGUGGAGCCCACGACGAAGAACCUCCUGCAGACCGGCUGGGAGACGCAGCCAUGUCCGCAUUGCGUGGUUCGAGAAGGAGCAGCGGCAGAUGCGCAUGAUGGUCCUAGCAGGCGACAGCGAUUGUGUGUGCUGCCGCUCCUGUACGGAGGAACUCAGUGCGGCGAGUGCGGCCAUGCGCUCCCACUGGUGCCGACGUGGACUCGUGCCCUCUACUUGGUGCUGCAGCGCCGCGAUCGCAGCCGCGCAGCAGCUGUCGCGUACGGCGAGGAGGUGCACCGCCACCUAUGGCUGGGAGUGGCAAUCGAUGCUCUCCUUUACACAUCCGCAACGGAGAAGCAACAGCAGCUUCUCGUGGUGCACGCUGCUGCUGCACCGGCACGGGCUGCUCCGUCGGCCACGCUGCCAUGCGCCGAAACCACGAAGGGAGCACUUCACAUCUUUUGCCAGGACGAGCAUGUUAGCCGCCUGGCCCUAAAGUGGGGAGACGGCACUGCCUUCUACGCGGCAGCCAAUCUCCACGACGUGGCCCGUCGCGUUGCCCCGCAGCUGCAGGGGCAGGCGCACAUCAAGGAACUCCUCCUAUUAGUAGUGCUGUACAUCGUGUAUCAUGCAAGCCAUCCGGAGGCGGCUGGGUCGCAUCGGCACCCACUGCACGUGCUGCUCGUAGGGCCAGCGAAGACGGGCAAAAGUGCGCUGCUGCGGGAGGUGGCGCAGCUUAUCGGGUUGGAGGCAGAGGUGCUUGAGGCCACCGUAGUGCGAACUGGCGGUAGCGGCGGUGCUGCCGGUGGCUCCUCGUUCUCCGCUGCCCUUCCUAUGCGACGCAGUGCCGUCCUCAUGGCAGGCUCCGGCAUGACCGCCUCCACGCUGGUGCUGGACCAACUCCCUUCUACCGCAGCCGGCGCCGCUGCUAUGGCGCCGCUACUGGAGGCGAUGGAGCGCGGGCACGGCUGCGGCGCAGCGGGCGGAGAAGAAGGCGCCGCUGCUGGAGGUCCCGAUGUUCAUCAGCUCCCGUCAACCAUCAUCGCUGCUGCCGGUGAAGAGAGUGCAGCAGCCGUGCAACUAGCGCCUUACUUCUCGCUAAUCGCCGCCGUAGCGCCAACGAACUCGCUCGAUGACACUGCGAUCAUCAGCCAAGACGUCGUCGCCGCGUCGAGGGCGAGAUCGUCGCACAGCAGGGCGACGUCACGCAGCAUGUCGCGGGCAACACAGCUGUCAGCAUCGUCGCCACACCACUCUCAGAGCGGCCCAUCCGUCUCGCAGAGCACUUCUCGCAGAAUCGAUCCCAGUGCCCUAUCAGAGCGACUGACUCAUGACGACGUGCGCUAUUUUGUCCGACGCGCUGCGGAGCCUGCACUGCUGAGCAGCGUGGUGAGCCACGCCGCGUGCUACGACGCGUUCAUUGGCAAGCUGGUGGAUUGCGCAGGGCUGCUGGAAGAAGCACAACCGUCGGUCUGCCACGCUCUCCCGCCUCCCUCUGCGUGCCGCGGACAGCAUCGCAUCGGUCAUCCCUCGGCGGCCAGCGACUCCCUGCGUGCGGCGCCUCUGGCCAUCGAUGAACACCUGCGCAUCUUGUGCGCUCUCUCCCGGGCCCGGGUACUGCUGGAGCGCGCGGAGCUCCUCCGUGACGCCGGCUGGACGGCGCAGAUGCGCGACGAAGUCUGGGCGCUCUAUCAUGGCCACCUUGUCGCCUUUGCUGAUCUGAUACAGCGUCGCAGCUGUGGUUCAGGGGCCAUGGCAUCCCGCGACCCAGCUGAGGUGCUUCGCAUGACUUCGUGGCAGUCCUCGUUUUUCGACGCCUGCGGCGGCAGCACAGCUGCACCCGCACCCGCAGGCUAUCCGCCUCCCAGUCGAUUCAGCGGUGAUGCUGCGGCUCUGGGAAGGGAGUGGAAAGGUGGGAUGUGUGCGAUGUCAUCACGCGAAGGACGGGGCCUUUGGCAUCCGCAGAAGACGCCCUCGAAGAAGCGAUGCCGACUGAUGUUUGUCGACGCGCUUCGCCAGCGUCAGCGUCUCUCAGCCCCGGUGGAGGGCGCCGUUCCUCCGUCGGAAGUAGAGCACCUCUUCGGGCUACUCGGUGGCAGCAGCGCCUUUGGUGAUCCGCUUGAUGUCGUGAUCAGCCAGAUGCAGGAGGAAGGACUACUCCUUCGCCGACCUGGCGGGUGGCGUUCCCUGUAGGAAUGCGGCGGUUGCAUGGCUGUGUCAUACAUGCCGACCACCACGCGUCAUCACCGCGAGCGCAGCUUGCCGGACACCGGCUACAGCCGCUUCUGUUGUUGUCGCGUUCUUUGUGUGUCUGUGUGUGUGUGUGUGUGUGUGUGGUGUGUGCUUGCCGGCUUCUGCUGCGUCUCUCUGCUCUCCUCCUCCUAACAGACUUCUUUUCUUCGCCAUACAAGCAGCCAUCUUCUUCGUCCUUUCUCUCCCUAUUCUCCACCCUUCCUCUCUCCCUCCCCCCUGCCAUCGCCGCCGCCGGCCCGACCCGCCCCGUUCCGCACAAGCAGCGUGGCAUCUAUUCAUGCACGCUCUUUGUUUUCGGCUUUUCUCUUCUUGUGCUGUUCAAUCGCACCUUCCCGCUCCUGCUGCGCUCCUCGCAAGAGACAGCAAGCAAGCAAUAUGGUACCCGAUGGAGAGAGUGAGAGGGGAGAAGACGAAGUACGAGUUAGUUUCGCGAGUCGCCCUCGACAUACGUGCCCUUACCACCGCUGCCGGAGACAUGGAGACUUCGCAAACGAAGCGCCGUCACGGGAUCAGAGCGGUGUCUCUGAGCCGAAAGGCCGCAAUGAGAAGCUGCUUGCCGCUUCAUGUGGGCAAGGCUUCUGUUUCCGCCAUCAGUGCUGCUGCUGCUGCUGCUCCUUCCUCUCAACUUUCGUGCGACUUUUUUUUCGCUUUUGUGUUUCACGUCCUGUCCUGUCCGGUUGGCGCGUCUCUCGGUGCAUGUCGUGUCGUCAUACUCUCCCAUGGCGGCGCCAAUGCACCCACGCGCACACUCGCCCGCCGCUAUCGAUAG
RNAcentral lists this unclassified non-coding RNA (3470 nucleotides) under Leishmania donovani. RNAcentral describes it as "gene:LdHU3.36.4210(CDS-product:MCM2/3/5_family_pu tative)". Lineage: Eukaryota; Euglenozoa; Kinetoplastea; Trypanosomatida; Trypanosomatidae. The record is from RNAcentral.